GACGAACGCUGGCGGCGUGCCUAACACAUGCAAGUCGAACGGACUAAUGUUUGACACUGAAUGCUUUCAAAUUAAGGAAAGAAAACAGGCCGCAUGACGCGAACGAAGAGAGCGUCGAAGCGACCCAAAAAAGUGCCAACACAGAAAAACAGAGGAGAACAUUCAGUGUUGAACAUUAGUUAGUGGCGGACGGGUGAGUAACGCGUGGGUAAUCUACCUAAGAGUGGGGAAUAACAGUUGGAAACGACUGCUAAUACCGCAUAAACUGCGUAAGCAGCAAAGAUGGCCUCUGAAUAUGCUGUCGCUUUUAGAUGAGCCCGCGUCUGAUUAGCUAGUUGGUGGGGUAAAGGCCUACCAAGGCGACGAUCAGUAGCCGGCCUGAGAGGGUGAACGGCCACACUGGGACUGAGACACGGCCCAGACUCCUACGGGAGGCAGCAGUGGGGAAUAUUGCGCAAUGGGGGAAACCCUGACGCAGCGACGCCGCGUGAGCG
Molecule: ribosomal RNA, 494 nt
Filed under: uncultured bacterium
Lineage: Bacteria
Description: bacterial SSU rRNA
Rfam family: Bacterial small subunit ribosomal RNA
Source: RNAcentral